AUACCUUUCUCGGCCUUUUGGCUAAGAUCAAGUGUAGUAUCUGUUCUUAUCAGUUUAAUAUCUGAUAUGUGGACUAUUAGUUCACACGAUAUUAAAUUAAUUUUUUGAGGGAGAGGGCCAUCAAAGUAGCUUGCUACUUGGUCUCUCAAGCAUCGUCCUUGUGUUGCACUUUUGCAAGGAUCUGGUGCAUCCCAA
Non-coding RNA from Phaseolus vulgaris (common bean), 195 nucleotides. The record is from Rfam. Lineage: Eukaryota; Viridiplantae; Streptophyta; Magnoliopsida; Fabales; Fabaceae.